GACGAACGCUGGCGGCGUGCUUAACACAUGCAAGUCGAACGGAAAGGCCCUGCUUUUGUGGGGUGCUCGAGUGGCGAACGGGUGAGUAACACGUGAGUAACCUGCCCUUGACUUUGGGAUAACUUCAGGAAACUGGGGCUAAUACCGGAUAGGAGCUCCUGCUGCAUGGUGGGGGUUGGAAAGUUUCGGCGGUUGGGGAUGGACUCGCGGCUUAUCAGCUUGUUGGUGGGUUAGUGGCUUACCAAGGCUUUGACGGGUAGCCGGCCUGAGAGGGUGACCGGCCAAAUUGGGACUGAGAUACGGCCCAGACUCCUACGGGAGGCAGCAGUGGGGAAUAUUGCACAAUGGGCGGAAGCCUGAUGCAGCAACGCCGCGUGCGGGAUGACGGCCUUCGGGUUGUAAACCGCUUUCGCCUGUGACGAAGCGUGAGUGACGGUAAUGGGUAAAGAAGCACCGGCUAACUACGUG
Molecule: ribosomal RNA, 468 nt
Filed under: uncultured bacterium
Lineage: Bacteria
Description: partial 16S ribosomal RNA
Rfam family: Bacterial small subunit ribosomal RNA
Source: RNAcentral